GGACUGCCCUCACACUGAAAUCAGAUGCAUCUGCUUCUUGGUGUCAGGAUGAACCAAACUGGGUGCUGAGGUGAAUAGUUUUUUCAGCUGCUUGCACUUCUUUGGACCAGACAAAAGUAUCAAUUGUGGAGGUAAGGCGAGUGAGUGGCGCUGCUACCUGGCUUUAGUUAUGAAUGAAGUGAGGCAAAACCAAGGAAACACUGAAGAUGCCCUAAAUUUGUUGUCACGAUUUGCAGAGGCGGCAGAUCGUGUGUCGUUUUAGGGAGCAGACAAAGGAAGGAAACAGAAUUCCUAACAAAAGGCGAGCCAUUUAUCAUGACUGGUGGCAAAACUAACAAACAAAAAGGCAAAAGCCAACUGAGAAGGAGCUAAGACAAACUAAACUGGAAAAGCUAAACUAAACACGUGAACAAAGGGAACGUAAAACAUGAAAAUCUGGACACAGAUUCCUGAGACAUGGCGGGAUACAAACAGACGAUCUGACCCAGAAUAAAUGACAACUUACAACAUAAAUACAUAAGAGGGUGACGAGGGAAGAGGUGGGGUGAACACAGCUUGGGUGAAUAAACAAAAUGACAUGGGGAAAGUAAAACAGAACACAAUGAACACGGGAAGGAAUACUACCAAAAUAAUACAGGAAACAUGCAGACUAAGACACACGGACUUGACUCAGGGAACGGGGGCGAAACAGGGGAGAACCAGACUUGGGAACAUAGAAACAUGAACGGGAGACGAAAACACGGAGAGAGACAUGGACAUAACAUAAGGAACAUACACCGAGGACAUGACAAACUCACACAGGAAAUAGGGAAUGAUGCAUCAACAGGAAAACAUGAUAAGUCUAACUAAACUUAAAAGCAUAACCAAGGCUAAACUUCAUACUAAUAGUAAAGGUAAAACUUAAACGUUUCCCCCAAAACAGCAAAAGAAACAAAAUUAUAAAAUAAACUCAAAAUGCUGGGUCAAUGACCCAGAACCCUGACAGGAGUGUUAAACACUCAUCCCCCUCCAUGAUGUGGACCAAAUGGAAGGCAUUACAAAGGUCCGGUUUAGUGAAAUUGGUGUCCCCUUGGAGUGGUUCAGUGAAGGUGAUGAGAGGUGAGGGGUAUUUGUUUUUCACUGUGAUUUCAUUUAAACCUCUGUAAUCAAUACAGGGACACAGCGUCUUAUCUUUUUUUGGCCACAAAGAAGAAACCUGCGCCUACCAGGGAAGAGGAAGGAUGGAUGAUGCCUGCUGCGAAAGACUCUUGAAUAUAUUUUUCCAUAGCCUUCCUCUCAGGCCAUGACAGGCUGUAAAGACGGCUCAAAGGUAGUGGAGUUUCAGAGAGGAUGUCUAUGGCACAGUCAUAGGGCCUGUGAGGGGGGAGUGAUAUAGCUUUAACCUUAGUGAAAACCUCUUGAAGAUCACGAUACUCCUCUAGGACAGAAGACUGAUCCGGAGGUUCAGUGAGUGCCGGAGGCGGGUUGCUUGAGGAGGCGGGUUGCUUGAGGAGGCGGGUUGCUUGAGGAGGCGGGUCGCUUGCAGGCAGUUAGUUUUUCAACCCAUUUGGCCAACCAGCCUCGGCAUGAGGCAACUACAGGUGGGUUGAAUAAUAAUCCUAAAUCGUAGCGCAGAGACACAGGAUAAGCACAAGGGAAAAACUUGUGCUAACCGAGUACAUGAGAGGCAAAAUACCACCAUGAGUAGUAGCAGACGACUUUAAAAGGCUUGUUUAGUCUGUUUAAGUAUAACACUCCUUUAAACCUCUAUUCAGAACACUUGGGUCAAAUCUGUUUUCAAAUGACUCUGUGAUAUAAACAGAGAAACAACAAUACAAAAAAGGAGAAAAUAGACAACAAUCAGAAAAGUCCAGUCUGGAGGUGAAAAGUGAAGCUAACGGGCCACUGAGACAAAGCACAGAGAGACGAGACAGACGUGGACACAAAUGGGGAGACCAAAGGUACACGGAGACACUGAAGACAGAACAUGGAGACGAGAUGAGACAAAGACAGACCCGACACAAAAGGGGAACUGACAAAAUAAAACAGGAAAUCAAGAACUAUAAAUGACAAACUCAGAGGAACUAGAAAAGAACACAUUCAGGAACAAGAACAUAAAAGGUCUCAUACUUAAAAGAACAAAUAACAAGCCCAGAACCACAAUUCAAAGUACUGGGUUAAAGACCCAGGACCAUGACAGGUUUGUUUAUUAUAAAGUUAUUAUUACAAAACAUGUUAUGUGCAUAGCCUGUUGUUACAUGCAAUGACUUUAUUUGGAUCAUUGCAAAGAAAUAUGUUUUGUUUUCUUUUUAUAAGGCAAUGAAGUCAGUGUUUCCACAAAUAUGAACUACAGAUGAAUAUGUUAGUGUUAUAUUUUUAAAACUACAUCCCUAUGCUGCUCCUCCUCUGUUCAUAUAUGAGAAAUGGGAGUGACAGUUCUUGGAAAACAAAAGUAAAAGACAUGCAUCAGGUUUCCAUAUCUGCAGUUGAGCUCUUGGUGUCAUCUGUGUGUUGUCUUUGAAAGCAUGGACAUAGGCUUGGAAGAAAUAUGCAGGGCAGUCCUUGGGUCUGCAGGACCUAAUGGAACUGUGAUUCUGACUCCUGCCAUUGUUGCUGCAUCGGGGUUCACUUCAGCUGGAAUAGCAGGAGGCUCCAUCGCUGCCAAACUGAUGUCAUAUUUAGGUGGCUUUUAAUGUUUAUCUAAAUGUCAAACAUAUGAAAUGUUCUUA
Long non-coding RNA from Oreochromis niloticus (Nile tilapia), 2708 nucleotides. RefSeq lists it as uncharacterized. The record is from RefSeq and is a predicted model, not a curated record. The transcript has 3 exons. Lineage: Eukaryota; Metazoa; Chordata; Actinopteri; Cichliformes; Cichlidae.